CCGGCUGUUCCAUCAGCCGUUCCCUACCCGGACAUGCGGAGCCGGCAACAGCUCCGUGUGAAGCUUCGGGGACAAUGUAGCCAACGGGUAACCGUUACACCAAACCGCGAGGCGCGGUGGAAUCUGCCAGCACGAAGGCGGUGAGGCAC
Molecule: non-coding RNA, 149 nt
Filed under: Paraburkholderia diazotrophica
Lineage: Bacteria; Pseudomonadati; Pseudomonadota; Betaproteobacteria; Burkholderiales; Burkholderiaceae
Source: RNAcentral